GACGAACGCUGGCGGCGUGCUUAACACAUGCAAGUCGAGCGGAAAGGCCCUGCUUUUGUGGGGUGCUCGAGUGGCGAACGGGUGAGUAACAUGGGAGUAACCUGCCCUUGACUUUGGGAUAACUUCAGGAAACUGGGGCUAAUACCGGAUAGGAGCUCCUGCUUCAUGGUGGGGGUUGGAAAGUUUGGUGGGGUGGGGUUGGACUCGCGGCUUAUCUGCUUGUUGGGGGGGUAGUGGCUUACCAGGGCUUUGACGGGUAGCCGGCCUGGGGGGGUGACCGGCCAAAUUGGGACGGAGAUAGGGCCCAGCCUCCUACGGGGGGCAGAGGUGGGGAAUAUGGACCAAUGGGCGGAGGCCUGAUGCAGCAAGGCCGCGUGCGGGAUGACGGCCUUCGGGUGGUAACCCGCUUUCGCCUGUGACGAAGCGUGAGUGACGGUAAUGGGUAAAGAAGCACCGGCUAACUACGUG
RNAcentral lists this ribosomal RNA (468 nucleotides) under uncultured bacterium. RNAcentral describes it as "partial 16S ribosomal RNA". It matches the Rfam family "Bacterial small subunit ribosomal RNA", at positions 28 to 507 of the family's 1533-position model. The record is from RNAcentral.